Molecule: unclassified non-coding RNA, 127 nt
Filed under: soil metagenome
Description: partial internal transcribed spacer 1
Source: RNAcentral
CGAAUGGGUCCAAAGACUCUUAAAACCUACCGUGCUCCCCUACGUGGAAAACAGGAAAGCCCUCCGGGGCAUAGGAAAUCUGAGAAGUUGAGAACUGCGCCCCGGCGCAUGACUAAAACAAAAAUUA